This 223-nucleotide long non-coding RNA is filed under the name Lathyrus oleraceus (garden pea). Its description in RNAcentral is "Pisum sativum (pea) long non-coding RNA (PSAT_LNC033229)". The record is from RNAcentral. Lineage: Eukaryota; Viridiplantae; Streptophyta; Magnoliopsida; Fabales; Fabaceae.
AAAAAUACAAUAGAAUUAAAUAAAUGACAAGCAUAAGAAUCCACCUAAAAUAAAAUUCAAUAAAGAAAGAAAGAAAUGUCUUACAGAAAAAUGAAGAGAGUUUUGAUUUAGUUUUUGUGAAUGAUUGGUGGUGUCAUUUGUGAAUGAAAGGAGGUUUAUUUAUAGGCUCUGGAAAUAAUAGUUUAGGAAUUAUGCAAAAAGUGUGAGUGAAUUCUAAAAGCUU